UGAUGUCUGUGGAGGGAACCUUUGCUCGGGUCAACUGCACAUACAGCACCUCAGGGUUCAACGGGUUAUCCUGGUACCAGCAACGUGAAGGCCAAGCCCCUGUAUUUCUUUCUUAUGUUGUUUUGGAUGGUUUGAAGGACAGUGGGCAUUUCUCCACUUUCCUGAGCCGCUCGAAUGGGUACAGUUACCUGCUUCUGACAGAGCUCCAGAUCAAAGACUCUGCCUCAUACCUCUGUGCUGUGAGGGA
RNAcentral lists this long non-coding RNA (247 nucleotides) under Mus musculus (house mouse). RNAcentral's name for it is "long non-coding RNA chr14:52428629-52428876". The record is from RNAcentral. Lineage: Eukaryota; Metazoa; Chordata; Mammalia; Rodentia; Muridae.